GCAGAUCUGUCUGAUGAUGAUUUUUUACGGAUCGAGUUGGAUGGAUGGGUUGAUGAUGAGGAUGAUGAAGAGGAGCAUUCAGUGGAAGGCCAUGAGGAUGAGAAUCAUGAGGUGGAGAAUGAAAAUGAGAACCUGGAUCAAUCUGAUGGUGAGCAUGGAGAGGUGAAUGCGGUGAACGAGAAUCGGAGUGAAGAUGAAGAAGAGGAGACGCGGAGAAGGCGGCGUGAUGUUCUACGGCUUCGGCUAAGGGACUUUGCUGCUCGAGCUGCGAGCAGGCGCAACAGGAUUCUUGAUUGGGCCGAGAUUUUAAUGGGGCUGGAGGACCACUCAAUCGAGUUGCGAUUACAGGUUCCAGAAUCUGAUACUUUUUUCGGAAACCCGGGUGAUUAUGUAGAUGCUGCAGGAUACGAAGCAUUGCUGCAUAAUUUAGCUGAAAGUGACAGUGGAGGAAGGCCAGGGGCACCACCAGCUUCAAAGGCAACAGUUGAAGGGUUAGAAAACUUGUUGAUUAAGAAGGAAGAGGAGACAUUGGUGUGUGCUAUAUGUAAAGAUUCAGUGAAUGUGGGUGAAAUGGCGAGGAAAUUACCGUGUGGACAUGGAUAUCACGGCGACUGCAUAGUCCCAUGGUUGUGGUCACGAAAUACUUGUCCCGUGUGUAGGUUUGAGUUGCCAACUGAUGAUCCCGAUUACGAGGAGGAGAGGAAGAAAAGAGUUGUCGUGGCAAGCCUUAGAGCACCUUCCUCGAGUUCUUCCGGUGGUGCAGGUAGCUAUAAUUCUGGCUUCGAUUGAUUUACUGUGGUAUGCUAAAACCUUCUUCACUUUGUUUCCUAUUCUCAUGUUUAGGAGUUUUUCCUGUUUCUGUUCUUCUCUCUCUCUCUCUCUCUCUCACUAUUUAAAUUGGAACUCUGUUCGUGUAUUAGCUUAUUGUGAAUUGGGCAGAUGCCGCAGAUGAAUUGUAUUUUGACUUCUUUUCUGUAAAUAAUGAACUCACUUUUUGGGAAAUUGAUAAUAUCGGCCUGUGGACAUUUGAAAAGCCAAAAGCUGUUUUCGAGACUAAGAAGUGGUUUGGGGUGAACGAGAAUCGGAGUGAAGAUGAAGAAGAGGAGACGCGGAGAAGGCGGCGUGAUGUUCUACGGCUUCGGCUAAGGGACUUUGCUGCUCGAGCUGCGAGCAGGCGCAACAGGAUUCUUGAUUGGGCCGAGAUUUUAAUGGGGCUGGAGGACCACUCAAUCGAGUUGCGAUUACAGGUUCCAGAAUCUGAUACUUUUUUUGGAAACCCGGGUGAUUAUGUAGAUGCUGCAGGAUACGAAGCAUUGCUGCAUAAUUUAGCUGAAAGUGACAGUGGAGGAAGGCCAGGGGCACCACCAGCUUCAAAGGCAACAGUUGAAGGGUUAGAAAACUUGUUGAUUAAGAAGGAAGAGGAGACAUUGGUGUGUGCUAUAUGUAAAGAUUCAGUGAAUGUGGGUGAAAUGGCGAGGAAAUUACCGUGUGGACAUGGAUAUCACGGCGACUGCAUAGUCCCAUGGUUGUGGUCACGAAAUACUUGUCCCGUGUGUAGGUUUGAGAUGCCAACUGAUGAUCCAGAUUACGAGGAGGAGAGGAAGAAAAGAGUUGUCGUGGGAAGCCUUAGAGCACCUUCCUCGAGUUCUUCCGGUGGUGCAGGUAGUUAUAAUUCUGGCUUCGAUUGAUUUGCUGUGGUAUGCUAAAACCUUCUUCACUUUGUUUCCUAUUCUCAUGUUUAGGAGUUUUUCCUGUUUCUGUUCUUCUCUCUCUCUCUCUCUCUCUCACUAUUUAAAUUGGAACUCUGUUCGUGUAUUAGCUUAUUGUGAAUUGGGCAGAUGCCGCAGAUGAAUUGUAAU
RNAcentral lists this long non-coding RNA (1859 nucleotides) under Olea europaea (common olive). Its description in RNAcentral is "long non-coding RNA (OEUR_LNC014786)". Lineage: Eukaryota; Viridiplantae; Streptophyta; Magnoliopsida; Lamiales; Oleaceae. The record is from RNAcentral.